RNAcentral lists this non-coding RNA (186 nucleotides) under Caloranaerobacter azorensis. RNAcentral's name for it is "T-box sequence". It matches the Rfam family "T-box leader". Rfam says of the family: Uncharged tRNA acts as the effector for transcription antitermination of genes in the T-box leader family. T-boxes are found upstream of many aminoacyl-tRNA synthetase genes and some amino acid biosynthetic genes usually in Gram-positive bacteria. The anticodon of a specific tRNA base pairs to a specifier sequence within the T-box motif, and the NCCA acceptor tail of the tRNA base pairs to a conserved bulge in the T-box antiterminator hairpin. Lineage: Bacteria; Bacillati; Bacillota; Tissierellia; Tissierellales; Thermohalobacteraceae. The record is from RNAcentral.
AAUAAGGACUGAAUAAAGAGUAGUAGGUAAAUCAGGUUAUUUCAGAGAGUCAGUGGUUGGUGUGAACUGACAUAACCGUUUACUGAACUUGCUUUAUGUUAAAAAAGGUUAGUCUCCGUUAUAGGACUUAAAGUGGGCUUUAUAGCCAAUUAGGGUGGUACCGCGGGAUAACUUCUCGUCCCUAAG